This 484-nucleotide ribosomal RNA is filed under the name uncultured bacterium. RNAcentral's name for it is "partial 16S ribosomal RNA". It matches the Rfam family "Bacterial small subunit ribosomal RNA", at positions 28 to 523 of the family's 1533-position model. The record is from RNAcentral.
GACGAACGCUGGCGGCGUGCUUAACACAUGCAAGUCGAACGGAAAGGCCCUGCUUUUGUGGGGUGCUCGAGUGGCGAACGGGUGAGUAACACGUGAGUAACCUGCCCUUGACUUUGGGAUAACUUCAGGAAACUGGGGCUAAUAACGGAUAGGAGCUCCUGCUGCCUGGUGGGGGUUGGAUAGUUUGGGCGGUUGGGGAUGGACUCGCGGCUUAUCAGCUUGUUGGUGGGGUAGUGGCUUACCAAGGCUUUGACGGGUGGCCGGCCUGAGAGGGUGACCGGCCACAUUGGGACUGAGAUACGGCCCAGACUCCUACGGGAGGCAGCAGUGGGGAAUAUUGCACAAUGGGCGGAAGCCUGAUGCAGCAACGCCGCGUGCGGGAUGACGGCCUUCGGGUUGUAAACCGCUUUCGCCUGUGACGAAGCGUGAGUGACGGUAAUGGGUAAAGAAGCACCGGCUAACUACGUGCCAGCCGCCGCGGUAA